UAAUUUCAUGUGAAAAGCUAAAUUCAUUAUUCAGGUUGUGAUGAACUGAAACUUUCUUGUUUAAAGCUCUUGUUAAGUUCACUUCAAAUAGCAUUGAAUUUUUUUGUGAACCUGCCUUCAUCAUGCUGGUUAAGGAAGUUAUGUUAUGGAACUAAGCUUUGUAGGACUAUGUGUGACAAGAUACCUUUGAAAGAUCUGCUUCACUACAUGGAACCCGAGAGUUCAUUAAUGUUGGAGAUUUUGGGAAAUUAAUUUCUCAGUAAUGUGUCUUAAGUUACAAAACAUGAAGUGUCUUACUUGUGGAACAUUGGUAGACUAUGAUAAAGAAAACAAUUAUAAUCUUUUUUUGGUUUUAAUAAUAAUUCCAAAUCAUUU
Long non-coding RNA from Amphimedon queenslandica, 375 nucleotides. RefSeq lists it as uncharacterized. The transcript has 4 exons. NCBI's taxonomy places the organism in Eukaryota, Metazoa, Porifera, Demospongiae, Haplosclerida, Niphatidae. The record is from RefSeq and is a predicted model, not a curated record.